UAAGGUGGUAGGCUGAAAUCUUAGGUAAAUCCGGGGUUUCAAGGCCGAGAGCUGAUGACGAGUCGUCUUUUAGAUGACGAAGUGGUUGAUGCCAUGCUUCCAAGAAAAGCUUCUAAGCUUCAGGUAACCAGGAACCGUACCCCAAACCGACACAGGUGGUCGGGUAGAGAAUACCAAGGCGCUUGAGAGAACUCGGGUGAAGGAACUAGGCAAAAUGGCACCGUAACUUCGGGAGAAGGUGCGCCGGCUAGGGUGAAGGAUUUACUCCGUAAGCUCUGGCUGGUCGAAGAUACCAGGCCGCUGCGACUGUUUAUUAAAAACACAGCACUCUGCAAACACGAAAGUGGACGUAUAGGGUGUGACGCCUGCCCGGUGCCGGAAGGUUAAUUGAUGGGGUUAGCGCAAGCGAAGCUCUUGAUCGAAGCCCCGGUAAACGGCGGCCGUAACGAUAACGGUCCUAAGGUAGCGAAAUUCCUUGUCGGGUAAGUUCCGACCUGCACGAAUGGCGUAACGAUGGCGGCGCUGUCUCCACCCGAGACUCAGUGAAAUUGAAAUCGCUGUGAAGAUGCAGUGUAUCCGCGGCUAGACGGAAAGACCCCGUGAACCUUUACUGUAGCUUUGCACUGGACUUUGAGCCUGCUUGUGUAGGAUAGGUGGGAGGCUUUGAAGCGUGGACGCCAGUUCGCGUGGAGCCAUCCUUGAAAUACCACCCUGGCAUGCUUGAGGUUCUAGCUCUGGUCCGUAAUCCGGAUCGAGGACAGUGUAUGGUGGGCAGUUUGACUGGGGCGGUCUCCUCCUAAAGAGUAACGGAGGAGUACGAAGGUGCGCUCAGACCGGUCGGAAAUCGGUCGCAGAGUAUAAAGGCAAAAGCGCGCUUGACUGCGAGACAGACACGUCGAGCAGGUACGAAAGUAGGUCUUAGUGAUCCGGUGGUUCUGUAUGGAAGGGCCAUCGCUCAACGGAUAAAGGGUACUCCGGGGAUAACAGGCUGAUACCGCCCAAGAGUUCAUAUCGACGGCGGUGUUUGGCACCUCGAUGUCGGCUCAUCACAUCCUGGGGCUGAAGCCGGUCCCAAGGGUAUGGCUGUUCGCCAUUUAAAGUGGUACGCGAGCUGGGUUUAGAACGUCGUGAGACAGUUCGGUCCCUAUCUGCCGUGGACGUUUGAGAUUUGAGAGGGGCUGCUCCUAGUACGAGAGGACCGGAGUGGACGAACCUCUGGUGUUCCGGUUGUCACGCCAGUGGCAUUGCCGGGUAGCUAUGUUCGGAAAAGAUAACCGCUGAAAGCAUCUAAGCGGGAAACUUGCCUCAAGAUGAGAUCUCACUGGGAACUUGAUUCCCCUGAAGGGCCGUCGAAGACUACGACGUUGAUAGGCUGGGUGUGUAAGCGUUGUGAGGCGUUGAGCUAACCAGUACUAAUUGCCCGUGAGGCUUGAGC
This 1435-nucleotide ribosomal RNA is filed under the name metagenome. Its description in RNAcentral is "bacterial LSU rRNA". It matches the Rfam family "Bacterial large subunit ribosomal RNA", at positions 1513 to 2925 of the family's 2925-position model. The record is from RNAcentral.